UACGUAGGGUGCGAGCGUUAAUCGGAAUUACUGGGCGUAAAGCGUGCGUAGGCGGUUCGUUAAGUUCGUUGUGAAAGCCCCGGGCUCAACCUGGGAAUGGCAAUGGAAACUGGCGGGCUUGAGUAUGGCAGAGGGGGGUGGAAUUCCGCGUGUAGCAGUGAAAUGCGUAGAGAUGCGGAGGAACACCGAUGGCGAAGGCAGCCCCCUGGGCCAAUACUGACGCUCAGGCACGAAAGCGUGGGGAGCAAACAGG
RNAcentral lists this ribosomal RNA (253 nucleotides) under uncultured bacterium. RNAcentral's name for it is "partial 16S ribosomal RNA". It matches the Rfam family "Bacterial small subunit ribosomal RNA", at positions 524 to 776 of the family's 1533-position model. The record is from RNAcentral.